RNAcentral lists this ribosomal RNA (440 nucleotides) under uncultured bacterium. RNAcentral describes it as "partial 16S ribosomal RNA". It matches the Rfam family "Bacterial small subunit ribosomal RNA", at positions 338 to 795 of the family's 1533-position model. The record is from RNAcentral.
CCUACGGGAGGCAGCAGUGAGGGAUAUUGGUCAAUGGAGGAAAGCCUGAACCAGCCACGCCGCGUGAGGGAAGACUGUUUUAGGAUUGUAAACCUCUUUCCUCUAUGGAGAUAAUGACGGUAGGAGAGGAGGAAGCUCCGGCUAACGACGUGCAAGCAGCCGCGGUAAUACGUAGGGAGCGAGCGUUGUCCGGAUUUACUGGGUGUAAAGGGUGCGUAGGCGGGCCUGCAAGUCAGAAGUGAAAGCCAUGGGCUUAACCCGUGAACUGCUUUUGAAACUGCAGGACUUGAGUGGAGUAGAGGUAGGCGGAAUUCCUGGUGUAGCGGUGAAAUGCGUAGAGAUCGGGAGGAACACCAGUGGCGAAGGCGGCCUACUGGGCUUUAACUGACGCUGAAGCACGAAAGUGUGGGUAGCAAACAGGAUUAGAUACCCCAGUAGUC